GGGUUGUGAGGUUAAGCGACUAAGCGUACACGGUGGAUGCCCUGGCAGUCAGAGGCGAUGAAGGACGUGCUAAUCUGCGAUAAGCGUCGGUAAGGUGAUAUGAACCGUUAUAACCGGCGAUUUCCGAAUGGGGAAACCCAGUGUGUUUCGACACACUAUCAUUAACUGAAUCCAUAGGUUAAUGAGGCGAACCGGGGGAACUGAAACAUCUAAGUACCCCGAGGAAAAGAAAUCAACCGAGAUUCCCCCAGUAGCGGCGAGCGAACGGGGAGCAGCCCAGAGCCUGAAUCAGUGUGUGUGUUAGUGGAAGCGUCUGGAAAGGCGCGCGAUACAGGGUGACAGCCCCGUACACAAAAAUGCACAUGCUGUGAGCUCGAUGAGUAGGGCGGGACACGUGGUAUCCUGUCUGAAUAUGGGGGGACCAUCCUCCAAGGCUAAAUACUCCUGACUGACCGAUAGUGAACCAGUACCGUGAGGGAAAGGCGAAAAGAACCCCGGCGAGGGGAGUGAAAAAGAACCUGAAACCGUGUACGUACAAGCAGUGGGAGCACGCUUAGGCGUGUGACUGCGUACCUUUUGUAUAAUGGGUCAGCGACUUAUAUUCUGUAGCAAGGUUAACCGAAUAGGGGAGCCGAAGGGAAACCGAGUCUUAACUGGGCGUUAAGUUGCAGGGUAUAGACCCGAAACCCGGUGAUCUAGCCAUGGGCAGGUUGAAGGUUGGGUAACACUAACUGGAGGACCGAACCGACUAAUGUUGAAAAAUUAGCGGAUGACUUGUGGCUGGGGGUGAAAGGCCAAUCAAACCGGGAGAUAGCUGGUUCUCCCCGAAAGCUAUUUAGGUAGCGCCUCGUGAAUUCAUCUCCGGGGGUAGAGCACUGUUUCGGCAAGGGGGUCAUCCCGACUUACCAACCCGAUGCAAACUGCGAAUACCGGAGAAUGUUAUCACGGGAGACACACGGCGGGUGCUAACGUCCGUCGUGAAGAGGGAAACAACCCAGACCGCCAGCUAAGGUCCCAAAGUCAUGGUUAAGUGGGAAACGAUGUGGGAAGGCCCAGACAGCCAGGAUGUUGGCUUAGAAGCAGCCAUCAUUUAAAGAAAGCGUAAUAGCUCACUGGUCGAGUCGGCCUGCGCGGAAGAUGUAACGGGGCUAAACCAUGCACCGAAGCUGCGGCAGCGACGCUGAUGCGUUGUUGGGUAGGGGAGCGUUCUGUAAGCCUGCGAAGGUGUGCUGUGAGGCAUGCUGGAGGUAU
This 1251-nucleotide ribosomal RNA is filed under the name Escherichia coli. RNAcentral describes it as "partial 23S ribosomal RNA". It matches the Rfam family "Bacterial large subunit ribosomal RNA", at positions 1 to 1282 of the family's 2925-position model. Lineage: Bacteria; Pseudomonadati; Pseudomonadota; Gammaproteobacteria; Enterobacterales; Enterobacteriaceae. The record is from RNAcentral.